CGGAGCAACCCCACCUCCGAUUUAGACUUCUUUUACAGGUCCCGACGGCGACCGCGACUCCCUCGACUCCAGCUUCUCUGAUGCAGGUGGAUUUUUGCACCAACAGGAUUGGCGCUAGAAGGAGGGGCCUGUGUCUUCGCAGUACUCUUAUUCUUAAAAGAGCGCUCAACGGGACCGCUUUCGGUCACCUUUUUCGACAUCCACUCCUCCUUCCCCCACUAGAUCUUCGCUCGAUGUCUCCUCGC
Molecule: long non-coding RNA, 245 nt
Filed under: Elaeis guineensis (African oil palm)
Lineage: Eukaryota; Viridiplantae; Streptophyta; Magnoliopsida; Arecales; Arecaceae
Description: long non-coding RNA (EGUI_LNC081519)
Source: RNAcentral